Long non-coding RNA from Bombus huntii, 3582 nucleotides. RefSeq lists it as uncharacterized. The record is from RefSeq and is a predicted model, not a curated record. Lineage: Eukaryota; Metazoa; Arthropoda; Insecta; Hymenoptera; Apidae. The transcript is spliced from 2 exons.
GGGGAGAGAGAUGAGUAAUAUAGCAAAAAAUAUCAAAAAAUAAAUUAUAAAAUAGGAGGUGUUAAAGAGGCGCCAUAAUUUUACAAAACGAAUUUACGUAUAUAUAUAUCUACCAUCUUAUUCUUCUAUGUUACUCUUUUGUCCAUUUGCCUGCCAUUGUGCAUGAGACUGGUACGAGUCGACCCUCGAGUGAGCAAACUAAGUCGUCGAUUGUGGUCGGAGUUCUAGCAAAAUCAGCCUUGGGCCGGGUUCCCAACGAAACAAGCGGUGGCACGGCACACGCGAUAUUCAGCUGGUCGUGCUUCUAAUCGUUGCAGUUUCGCUUUUCGUUACGAAUGCCUGAGGAAGGAAGGUGCGUGCCAUGCUCGAUAAAAUCCGUCGAGGAACCUUCGGGAAAAAUUUCUUCGCCAUGUCGCGUGUCGUCCUAUAAAGUACCGUACCAAGCUUGCGACACCUCUCGAAAUACGUUCGAGUCAUUUUCGUGACAAUCUCGACCAUCUCGAGUUACAACAUCGAAACUGCUUUCUCUCGGACGUUUCUAUCGGGAAAAUUCGCUUUCAACGAAUAACCGAAUCGAGCUCUUCGUUUGUUUAUUUAAGCUCGUAGAAAUAUGAAUUUGCAUUAAAACGCACCAUCUAGUAAAUAUAUAUAGUGUAGUAGAAGUUUUCAAUGUUUCUGGAAAUAGCCAACAGAAGCAAAAUGAAAAAUCCACAUCGAGCAAUCUUGAAACUGUUCUUUUUUCUUAUUUUUUCAUCGAAUUUGAUUUUAGGUUCUAUUCCUUGAUUUAUCUUUGCAAAAAUAUAAAUUUACAUCGAAACGCGUUAUAUAGACGCGAAUACUAGUUUACUCUUUCAUUUAGUUGAAGUUUGGUAAUUCUGUUUCGUUGAACUUCAUGUGAUAAAAAUGAAACGGAAUAUACAUCUGCUCUCGGUUGAAUUUACUUCAAUUCUGACGUCGCAUUCGUAUCUUUCUAAGGAAGUCGUAGAAACUCUCCGAAACGCGUUAUCCUACAUUUUUACGAUUUUCAUACAAAGUUACGAAGCAAUCAGUUCGACUUUCAAAUCUGUAAUCCCCUCACUGACGGCGGCAUUGGUAAACUUCGAAUCCUCUACUUCUCCUCUACUUUUAUAACGAUGCUUGUCGAUACAUUUUACAUUUAUGACAAACUGCUGGUUAGAAACGAUGCUUAUUGUCAACAAACACAGAUUAUUCGCUGCAGUAAUUACUUCUUCAGCAAAUCAAUAUUUAUUUCUAUUGUGUAUCAAAAUAUCGACGAUAAAAAUACAGUAAUAUAUUAUAGGUUAGAAACGAUGCUUAAUGUCAAGAAACACGGACUAUAUGCCAUGGAAAUUAUAUUUUGACCAACUCGAUAUUUAUUCUUAAAAGCUGAAACCUAAUCUUCUUCCAAAUUGUGUGUCGAAAUAACAACAAUGAAGAUACAAUGAUACAUCGUAGGUUAGAAACGACGCUUAUCGUCAAGAAAGGCAAACUAUUUGCCGUGGAAAUUAUAUCUUGACCAACCCGAUAUUUAUUCUUAAAAGCUGAAACCUGAUUUUCUUCCAAAUUGUGUAUUGAAAUAUCAACAACGAAGAUACAAUAAUACAUUGUAGGUUAGAAACUGUUUUAUCGACAAGGAACAAAAGAAUCUUAUCUACCGUGGAAAUUCGACGUUACUUCUCAACAACUAUUUUAUCCUUAAAAGCUCGAAUUUAUUUAAAGAGACAUCGCAUUGCGCGCGUACGGUAGAAGAGAACCGUUGUACUACUUUUCCCUAUUUAUUUCCCAUUUGAUCAAACGAGUACGCGAGCAAACAGGAGAAAGAACAAAUACGUCCUCGACGUUCGUCUCUCUAAACUUUCCAAAGCUUUCCAAUUUCAGUUCGUCAGUUUUUUUUUCACCUAUCCUGAAUUCACAACCAGGCAAGCAAACCUAAUCGAUACGUUUGAAAACAGGUUUUUCUCGCAACAAGCUUUCGUUAGUGGUAAAAUUCAGAUGGAUUGGAGAGAGCGGUUGAUGUUUUCGAGGGAAACACAUCGAGUAUGUACAGGCACGUAGCAUGGGUACGGCCAUUAUUCGAGGGAAUCGUCGGCCUCCUAAUAACGGAGAUACCGUCGUUGAUUCCGUUAUCUCGUUGUCAUUCAACGAGAUCGUUCCGUAUUCCAGGCUCGUCCCGGAAUAUCGGCAAUUUUCAAUGAUCGUUCCACCGGAACGCACAAUACCCACCAAAGUCUAUUAAAUUCCGCUCGAUUCCGCGCCGCGGACGACAAGUCAAAUCUUGUCUCGAUUAUUGUUGCCGUUCUUUGCCGAUUGCCUGACGUAUUCAGAUAUUUUAGGUAUUUUUAGCAAGCAAGCAAAUAUUGUAAUUCGAAUCCAGCGUGAAAGUAUAUAGGGUGUAUCUUUUGGCAAGAAGAUGAUAAGAAUAUCACGAGGUGUGGACUGAAUUGGCUGUAUCUAUAUUCGAUGCUUUAGGUUGACGAGAAAAACCGCUGUGAAAGGAUUCGAGUGCACGGUGCUUUAUUUUCGAGAAAUUAGUAAGUUUCCUUAUUUUUAUUUUAUUAAAUUUCUAUAAUUUAUCUUGUUCAACUUUCGAUCGUUUUAAUUUAUUAUAGUACUCUUGCAUAUUGUUACGAUUCACUGGGUGGAGAUUGUAACGAAGACAUUUUAAAAUAGAAGAAAUUAAUUUAAAGAAGUUAAUUUCACGUAGACAAGAUGCGAUUAAAUUCUUUCGGGGCUGUUUUAGCAUCGAUCCAAGGGAUCCAAUGCAGAUAUACCAACUCACUCACUCUCUUCCGAGAUUUCGUAGUUCCUGUCGUUCCUUCGUAAGAUCUGUAGGUGUUUUUUUUUUUUGUUGUUGUUGUUGUUUAUUUAGCCCAAGAUACAGUUUUAGAUACAUAUUCACAAUAAACGGUGAAUUUUCACAAUAAACGGAGCUAGGUGGAAAGGAGCGUUUUGCGUUUCGUCCCGGGACUACCGGUGGACUCGUCAGUAAGGCUAUGCCCGGUAGUCCCUGCCUUAGACGUAGAGGGAGUCUCGCUAGGUGCAGUAUUUGUAUCAUGCGCUCGUAUAUUCGACCACUAGCGAGAUAGACUCGUUGUCGUCGUAGCCCUCUGGUGUUGGUGGUUGGUACCCGCGGAUCGCCCGGGAGGUGUUGCGCCGCGUUGAUGCCUCGACCUGUCGGCGUCCUGUUGAUACCGAUCCGCCACAGAUCGAUCACCGUUUUCAGGACAUUUCCAACAACGUGAAAAGGAAAUGUUUCGAAAGAAGAAGAAUUAGUGUUCGGUGCACUGCACGUUUGGAUAUAAAGAAACUGUCUUUCGAUAAAAACUCCAAGUCACCUAGAUUUUUCAUAUACAACAUAUUUUUCAUUUCUAUAUUUUAUUUGUCAUAGUCACUGCAAUUUCAAUAGCAAAGCUCUGCGGCAUACAGCUAUGGACUCUUGAAAAUGGCAGACGACAUCCACUUAGGACUCUCGCAACAGAACCACCGACUACAAAUAUGUUAAAAAGGUUAACAAUCUCCACUUCGAUCCUCCUGUAGUUUAUACCAACUGUUCAUCGAGCAAAUAAAAAAAAAAAGAGAAAA